CACCAACAAUGUCCAUUAGGAUACCACAUUCAAAGGUCACUGAUUUCAGAGACUAAAGGUAGAUAAAUCCACAAAGGAUGAACAGAAACCAGUGCAAAAUGGCUGAAAAUUCCAAAAACCAGAAUGUCUUUUCUCUUCCAAGGGAUCCCAAGCCCUCACCAGCAAGGGAACAAACUGGAUGGAGAAUGAGUGUGACAAAUUGACAGAAGCAGGCUUCAGAAGGUGGGUAAUAACAAACUCCUCUGAGCUAAAGGAGCAUGUUCUAACCCAAUGCAAGGAAGCUAAGAACCCUGAAAAAAGUGUGGACAAAAUGCUAAGUAGAAUGACCAGUGUAGAGAACAUAAAUGCCCAGAUGGAGCUGAAAAACAGCAUGAGAACUUCAUGAAGCAUACACUAGUUUCAAUAGCCAAAUCGAUCUAGCAGGA
Molecule: long non-coding RNA, 425 nt
Organism: Sapajus apella (tufted capuchin)
Lineage: Eukaryota; Metazoa; Chordata; Mammalia; Primates; Cebidae
Exons: 3
Source: RefSeq, a predicted model, not a curated record